GAUGACCGCUGGCGGCGUGCUUAACACAUGCAAGUCGAACGAAGCACUUUGGACAGAUUCUUCGGAUGAAGUCCUUAGUGACUGAGUGGCGGACGGGUGAGUAACGCGUGGGUAACCUGCCUCAUACGGGGGGAUAACAGUUAGAAAUGGCUGCUAAUACCGCAUAAGCGCACGGUACUGCAUGGUACAGUGUGAAAAACUCCGGUGGUAUGAGAUGGACCCGCGUUGGAUUAGCUAGUUGGCAGGGUAACGGCCUACCAAGGCGACGAUCCAUAGCCGGCCUGAGAGGGUGGACGGCCACAUUGGGACUGAGACACGGCCCAGACUCCUACGGGAGGCAGCAGUGGGGAAUAUUGCACAAUGGGGGACACCCUGAUGCAGCGACGCCGCGUGAGCGAAGAAGUAUUUCGGUAUGUAAAGCUCUAUCAGCAGGGAAGAAAAUGACGGUACCUGACUAAGAAGCCCCGGCUAACUACGUGCCAGCAGGCGCGGUAAUACGUAGGGGGCAAGCGUUAUCCGGAUUUACUGGGUGUAAAGGGAGCGUAGACGGAAUGGCAAGUCUGAUGUGAAAGGCCGGGGCUCAACCCCGGGACUGCAUUGGAAACUGUCAAUCUAGAGUACCGGAGGGGUAAGUGGAAUUCCUAGUGUAGCGGUGAAAUGCGUAGAUAUUAGGAGGAACACCAGUGGCGAAGGCGGCUUACUGGACGGUAACUGACGUUGAGGCUCGAAAGCGUGGGGAGCAAACAAGAUUAGAUACCCUGGUAGUCCACGCCGUAAACGA
RNAcentral lists this ribosomal RNA (781 nucleotides) under uncultured bacterium. RNAcentral describes it as "bacterial SSU rRNA". It matches the Rfam family "Bacterial small subunit ribosomal RNA", at positions 28 to 809 of the family's 1533-position model. The record is from RNAcentral.